RNAcentral lists this ribosomal RNA (422 nucleotides) under uncultured bacterium. Its description in RNAcentral is "partial 16S ribosomal RNA". It matches the Rfam family "Bacterial small subunit ribosomal RNA", at positions 360 to 774 of the family's 1533-position model. The record is from RNAcentral.
AAUAUUGGACAAUGGGGGAAACCCUGCUCCAGCCAUGCCGCGUGUGUGAAGAAGGUCUUCGGAUUGUAAAGCACUUUAAGUGGGGAGGAAGGGCUUUGGGUUAAUACCCUGAAGUUUGGACGUUACCAACAGAGUAAGCACCGGCUAACUCUGUGCCAGCAGCCGCUGUAAUACAGGGGGUGCAAGCGUUAAUCGGAAUUACUGGGCGUAAAGCGCGCGUAGGUGGUUCAGUAAGAUGGGUGUGAAAUCCCCGGGCUUAACCUGGGAACUGCUUUCAUAACUGCUGAGCUAGAGUACGGUAGAGGGUAGUGGAAUUUCCUGUGUAGCGGUGAAAUGCGUAGGUAUAGGAAGGAACACCAGUGGCGAAGGCGACUACCUGGACUGAUACUGACACUGAGGUGCGAAAGCGUGGGGAGCAAACA